UGUACAUCUUCUCUUAUUUUGCUUAUGUUAUAAAAGGAAGUUUGACAGAGAAAGAAGGUUCAAGGAAGCUCUAAAUAGACUGAAGAGAAAUGCUGACAGACUGAAAGUGGUCUAGAGUCAAUACACGUGACCAAAGAGGCACAGAUGGAGCUUGCCGGCAGUAGAGUCAAUGUAUCACAUAAUGACAUUUCAGCCAACAAUGGACCACAGAUAUGACAGAUUGGACCUGAGAAACUCCUAUCACCUAGCAAUGUCGUAGCCAUGGUAACAUCAUAAGGCAAUGCAUUACUCAAGUGUCUGUGGUGAUGCUGGUGUAAACAAACCCUCUGCGCUGCUAUUUGCAUGAAAGUAUAGCACAUACGGUUAUAGUGUAUGUAUAUAUAUUGAUAAUAAAUGACUGUUGCUGGUUUAUAUAUUUACUAUUUUUUACUAGUUUUUAUCAUUAUUUUAGAUUGUAUUCCUUCUGCAGGACUUGCCUGAAGCUGGUUUGCAUUUAACAUUUUUUUUUAAAUAAAAAAUAUUUAAAAUAAAAAUAAUGUCAAAUGUUAAUCAGCUUCCGGAAAAGUCCUUCAGGAGGAAUUCAGAAGAAGGCAUUGUCAUCAUGGAAAAUGACAGCUCCAUGCGUUACUGCCCCUGAAGACCUUCCAGUAGGACAGGUGUGGAGGUGAAGAUCCUGACCCUGUGUCGGCCUAGGCUCAUGUGUGUGUUUGUGUCUUAGCUUUUAACAAAAUAAAAUUAAAAACUUAAAAAAAAA
Long non-coding RNA from Sapajus apella (tufted capuchin), 754 nucleotides. RefSeq lists it as uncharacterized. The transcript has 2 exons. Lineage: Eukaryota; Metazoa; Chordata; Mammalia; Primates; Cebidae. The record is from RefSeq and is a predicted model, not a curated record.